Molecule: ribosomal RNA, 518 nt
Filed under: uncultured bacterium
Lineage: Bacteria
Description: bacterial SSU rRNA
Rfam family: Bacterial small subunit ribosomal RNA
Source: RNAcentral
CUACGUGCCAGCAGCCGCGGUAAUACGUAGGUGGCAAGCGUUGUCCGGAUUUAUUGGGCGUAAAGCGAGCGCAGGCGGUCAAUUAAGUCUGAUGUGAAAGCCCCCGGCUCAACCGGGGAGGGUCAUUGGAAACUGGUUGACUUGAGUGCAGAAGAGGAGAGUGGAAUUCCAUGUGUAGCGGUGAAAUGCGUAGAUAUAUGGAGGAACACCAGUGGCGAAGGCGACUCUCUGGUCUGUAACUGACGCUGAGGCUCGAAAGCGUGGGUAGCAAACAGGAUUAGAUACCCUGGUAGUCCACGCCGUAAACGAUGAGUGCUAAGUGUUGGAGGGUUUCCGCCCUUUAGUGCCGCAGCUAACGCAUUAAGCACUCCGCCUGGGGAGUACGACCGCAAGGUUGAAACUCAAAGGAAUUGACGGGGGCCCGCACAAGCGGUGGAGCAUGUGGUUUAAUUCGAAGCAACGCGAAGAACCUUACCAGGUCUUGACAUCCCUCUGACCGCUCUAGAGAUAGAGUUUUC